Molecule: ribosomal RNA, 493 nt
Filed under: uncultured bacterium
Lineage: Bacteria
Description: bacterial SSU rRNA
Rfam family: Bacterial small subunit ribosomal RNA
Source: RNAcentral
GACGAACGCUGGCGGCGUGCCUAAUACAUGCAAGUCGAACGCACUCUCGUUUAGAUUGAAGGAGCUUGCUCCUGAUUGAUAAACAUUUGAGUGAGUGGCGGACGGGUGAGUAACACGUGGGUAACCUGCCCUAAAGUGGGGGAUAACAUUUGGAAACAGAUGCUAAUACCGCAUAAAACCUAACACCGCAUGGUGUAGGGUUGAAAGAUGGUUUCGGCUAUCACUUUAGGAUGGACCCGCGGUGCAUUAGUUAGUUGGUGAGGUAAAGGCUCACCAAGACCGUGAUGCAUAGCCGACCUGAGAGGGUAAUCGGCCACACUGGGACUGAGACACGGCCCAGACUCCUACGGGAGGCAGCAGUAGGGAAUCUUCCACAAUGGACGAAAGUCUGAUGGAGCAACGCCGCGUGAGUGAAGAAGGUUUCGGAUCGUAAAACUCUGUUGUUGGAGAAGAAUAGUAUCUGAUAGUAACUGAUCAGGUAGUGACGGUAUCC